GUUCAGUGAUGUCCAAACAAAUGUCUGACCUGAACUAAAAUGUGGACAACAUCUGUUACUGAGUAA
Small nucleolar RNA from Seriola aureovittata, 66 nucleotides. The record is from RefSeq and is a predicted model, not a curated record. NCBI's taxonomy places the organism in Eukaryota, Metazoa, Chordata, Actinopteri, Carangiformes, Carangidae.